AGCCAUGGCAUGUCUAAGUAUAAAUAACUACACAGUGGAAACUGCGAAUGGCUCAUUAAAACAGUUAUAGUUUAUUUGAUACAAGAAAUGGAUAACUGUAGAAAAACUAGAGCUAAUACAUGCCGUAACCGCAAGGUUGUAUUUAUUAGAUAUACCCAGUAGGUGAUUCAUAAUAACUAUGCAAAUCGAGGCUCUGCCUCGAUACAUCAUUCAAGUUUCUGCCCUAUCAGCUUUCGAUGGUAGUGUAUUGGACUACCAUGGCUUUCACGGGUAACGGAGAAUUAGGGUUCGAUUCCGGAGAAGGAGCCUGAGAAACGGCUACUACAUCUAAGGAAGGCAGCAGGCGCGUAAAUUACCCAAUCCUGACUCAGGGAGGUAGUGACAAGAUAUAACAACGCUAUUUUAUAUAGCGAUUGUAGUGAGGGUUUUCUAAGAAGAACUUCGAGUACGAUUGGAGGGCAAGUCUGGUGCCAGCAGCCGCGGUAAUUCCAGCUCCAAUAGCGUAUAUUAAAGUUGUUGCAGUUAAAAAGCUCGUAGUUGGAUUUCAAAGUGGAGGUGAGGAAACUCGCCGAAACUUAUCAGUCCUAUCGGACUGUUACUGUGAGAAAAUUAGAGUGUUUAAAGCAGGCCAUUGCAGGAAUACAUUAGCAUGGAAUAACGAGUGUGUCUAGAAUCUUGGUUAAUUCUAGAAAACGAUUAAUAGGGACAGUUGGGGGCAUUAGUAUUUAAUUGUCAGAGGUGAAAUUCUUGGAUUUAUUAAAGACUAACAUAUGCGAAAGCAUUUGCCAAGGAUGUUUUCAUUAAUCAAGAACGAAAGAUUGGGGAUCAAAGACGAUCAG
This 839-nucleotide ribosomal RNA is filed under the name uncultured alveolate. RNAcentral describes it as "SSU rRNA". It matches the Rfam family "Eukaryotic small subunit ribosomal RNA", at positions 47 to 1011 of the family's 1831-position model. The record is from RNAcentral.